RNAcentral lists this ribosomal RNA (468 nucleotides) under uncultured bacterium. RNAcentral describes it as "partial 16S ribosomal RNA". It matches the Rfam family "Bacterial small subunit ribosomal RNA", at positions 28 to 507 of the family's 1533-position model. The record is from RNAcentral.
GAUGAACGCUGGCGGCGUGCUUAACACAUGCAAGUCGAACGGAAAGGCCCUGCUUUUGUGGGUUGCUCGAGUGGCGAACGGGUGAGUAACACGUGAGUAACCUGUCCUUGUCUUUGGGAUAACUUCAGGAAAAUGGGGCUCAUAUCGCAUAGGAGAUACUGCUGCAUGGUGGGGGUUGGAAAGUUUCGGCGGUUCGGGCUGGAUUGGCGGCUUAUCAGCUUGUUGGUGGGGUUGGGGAUUACCAAGGCUUUGAAGGGUAGCCGGCCUUAGAGGGGGACCGGCCACAUUAGGACUACGAUAGGGCCCAGAAGCCUACGGGAGGCAGCAGGCGGGAACAUUGCAGAAUGGGCGGAAGCGAGAUGCGGCAACGCCGCGUGCGUGAUGAUGGGCUACUGGGUGUAAACCGAUUUCUCCGGAAACGAAGCGUGAGUGACGGUAACGGGUAAAAAAGCACCGGCUAACUACGUG